AUUUUUUCACUUCAGAGGCUGCAAUACACGUGAAGGGGAAAAUUAACAUAAACAGGUACAGAACAGAACUAUUUAAAUCAAGAAAUAUCUCUCCUUUCUUGUCUUGGAGCUGGCUGUGUCAGUCUUCAGUUUUCAGUGGGGAAAAAUCCCAGCCCAUGGAAUUUGUGGCUUUCUAAACCAUUCCUUUGUGUGGUGACUUCACAUCAGAGCAGAUCCUGCUUCUCCAGAGGGGUGGGAGCAGGGAUUGCUGGUCCACAGGAAAUUUUGGGUUGUUGUGGCCUUGGCUGUCAGAGUGUGGGGGUUUGUUGGCCAUAAUUCCUGUUCCAAGCCAAAAAAAGCACUCACGUAAGUCAGCUCAGAUGGUUCUUCCUUUCCCUCCUUUUUCACCACUUAUUUUUGGGUGCUAAAGUUGUCACUACCGGUUGGAUGGGACAACACAGCCUUGGCAUUUUCCUCCUGCUGUGGUAGAAGAAGCAAUUUCCAUCAUUUUUUUUUGCUGGGAUUUGCCUGGAAAAUUAAAUAUCUGUGACAGCUGGUGAAGGAAAGGUUUGGGAAGGGCUUGGGUUGCCUGAUGUGUGUCCACCUUUGCCCCUGUGGGCUGUAGAGCAAAUAACCAGACCUUCCCUUUCCCUGGAGCCCUGGGACUCAUGGAUGUCUCUUCAAUUCUUG
Molecule: long non-coding RNA, 669 nt
Filed under: Parus major (Great Tit)
Lineage: Eukaryota; Metazoa; Chordata; Aves; Passeriformes; Paridae
Description: lncRNA (ENSPMJG00000005870.1)
Source: RNAcentral